This 745-nucleotide ribosomal RNA is filed under the name uncultured bacterium. RNAcentral describes it as "bacterial SSU rRNA". It matches the Rfam family "Bacterial small subunit ribosomal RNA", at positions 33 to 773 of the family's 1533-position model. The record is from RNAcentral.
ACGCUGGCGGCAGGCCUAACACAUGCAAGUCGAGCGGUAGAGAGAAGCUUGCUUCUCUUGAGAGCGGCGGACGGGUGAGUAAUGCCUAGGAAUCUGCCUGGUAGUGGGGGAUAACGUUCGGAAACGGACGCUAAUACCGCAUACGUCCUACGGGAGAAAGCAGGGGACCUUCGGGCCUUGCGCUAUCAGAUGAGCCUAGGUCGGAUUAGCUAGUUGGUGAGGUAAUGGCUCACCAAGGCGACGAUCCGUAACUGGUCUGAGAGGAUGAUCAGUCACACUGGAACUGAGACACGGUCCAGACUCCUACGGGAGGCAGCAGUGGGGAAUAUUGGACAAUGGGCGAAAGCCUGAUCCAGCCAUGCCGCGUGUGUGAAGAAGGUCUUCGGAUUGUAAAGCACUUUAAGUUGGGAGGAAGGGUUGUAGAUUAAUACUCUGCAAUUUUGACGUUACCGACAGAAUAAGCACCGGCUAACUCUGUGCCAGCAGCCGCGGCAAUACAGAGGGUGCAAGCGUUAAUCGGAAUUACUGGGCGUAAAGCGCGCGUAGGUGGUUUGUUAAGUUGGAUGUGAAAUCCCCGGGCUCAACCUGGGAACUGCAUUCAAAACUGACUGACUAGAGUAUGGUAGAGGGUGGUGGAAUUUCCUGUGUAGCGGUGAAAUGCGUAGAUAUAGGAAGGAACACCAGUGGCGAAGGCGACCACCUGGACUAAUACUGACACUGAGGUGCGAAAGCGUGGGGAGCAAAC